UAUAGCUUUGUGCCUUACCAGCCUGUUCUUUGUCGUCGUGUUUUUGGUAUACGUGUUUGUUUUGGUUUUCCUUCUUUGUCCGUUAAUAAAAGAAGAUGAGUAUACAUUUUCCCGCUGCGUCUUGGUCUAAACCCUACGACACCCGUGACAAUGACAUAACCAUCAGCUCUCUCUCCUAACAAAGGAACACUGGAUUUUAUAGCUUCAGAAGAGGUCGAUAAUUGAAGACAGCUGUAUCUCCUGACGAGAGGGCAGGGUCAGAUCUCCAAUCGUUGAUGGGGCCGACCAAUCAGCUGCUUAGAAUUUCCGGAAGCCAUCCUGAAACACACACAUACAAACAAAACCACAACACAGAAACUGGGGAACUUAACAAUUGGUUUGUUUCAGUGUGUUGUUCCACUCUCUUUACCAUCUGACACUUUGUCCCUGUUGAUCCACAUACCUACCCUGCUUCUGGAGACCCGGGGAGUCUCCUGACCAGAGGGCUUUGACUCCCCAGGAACGUCUUCGCCACUCUGGGUUGACCCAGUCCUAUUGGUCUGAGACCACUGAUGUCUGCUCCCCUAGUAGGAACAAGGAGCUCCAAAGUAGCUCAAACCCCCUCUUGGAUUGGGUCUUGCCUCAUUUGAAUGCCUGGAGCCAAUCGUUCCAGUCUGGUUAUGAUCACUAUUUCAACCCUGGCUACCUAGCCACCCUGUGUCUGGACUCCUGACUCCAGCAGAGCAGGGAGCCCUGAGCAGCCCAACAGCCCCAGGGAGACUCUUAACCAGAGGGCUUGGACUCCCCAGGACAGUCCCCGUUGCUUUUUAACUCCUGAGGAUGAUGUGUUGUACUAGUUAAAUAAAAUGUUACAUGUCAACAACCACCAGGUCCUUCCUGGAGUCCCGGGAUAUUUCCCGAUACUCUGGCUCCACCCACAGCAAGCAUUCUGAGACAGCCACCUGAAAUGUAUGCUCUACUAUUACAGGUAGCCUAGUGGUUAGAGCAUUGGGCCAGUAACCAAAAGGUUGUUAGAUCGAAUCCCUGAGCUGAGAAGGUAAAAAUCUGUCGUUCUGCCCCUGAACAAGACAGUUAACCCACUGUUCCUAGGCUCUCAUUGUAAAUAAGAAUUUGUUCUUAACUGACUUGCCUAGUUAAAUAAAAAUAUUACUUAGGAGGAACUGAGAAAUAUGUGGAUCUCAGAUGUAUGUAUGCUCUGCAUUCACUAAGGAGGACCUAUGGCACCUCUGGAACACAGAUACACGUAAGGGCUCUUAGGGUGUAGUGUAGUAUGAUUUCAUUUAUUAUUAUAGUGUCUUGCAUCUUCAGGAUGCCCAGCCCACAUAUGCUUAUAAGACUCUGCAAAUUAAAAAUAAAAUCAUAUAUGCACACAAUAGGCAACAUACUGUCCAUUCACUUAUAGUACUUUUUUGUUGUUGUUUAGAGAUCCUUACAUUUGUGUACUGCUUUGUUUUCUUCAUUUUCAUCAUCUAACACUUUGUCCCUCGUGAUCCUCAGCCCAGGACUUCAGAUGGGCUUUGCCUCUCCAGUUGAGAUCUCUGCAUUCCUUCAAGAGACUGAGAGUUGAGUCUCAGUCCAACAAUAGGAAGAGGUGCCACUGCCUGGGGUGUGAUGCAGAGGACUGGCCUGCCAGCAAGAGAGCCAGGAAUGAAUGUCCAAUUGGCUCUCAUGGGGCCAUGAGGCACAUUAAUAGAACACAAAAUAGGCACCAGAAUAGAGCUGGGCCACAGUACAACAAGACAUUCAUAAUAAAAUAUUGUGACAUUUUUUUCCUUAGAUUUCUUCCUGAGAAAUGCUAUCCAGUACAAUAACUACAACACUUCAAUCCAAUGCAGGAUUAUUUUAAUAAAAAGGUCAAUGUUUUUUCCGAUUAAACUACAAAAUGAUUGUUGGCUAGGCAUGGCUACACAAUACUGUCCAAAUGAUAUAAUAAUUUAUCUUUCUUUUGCCUGAUGAAUAAGCUUUUGAUAUGUGUGUGAAUCAGGAUUGGGGAGUAAAUCAUUUCAUGUAAUCCAGUUACAUGUAAUCUGAUUUAUUUUUUUUUUACCUGUAAUCAAUUACAUUAACACCAACAAAUAUUGUAAUCGUAUUAGAGCUACUUUUCAAAAACUAGAUGAUUAGUACUUUUAAAUUCAGCAAGGAUGUUUGCAUACAAAUACAUUAUAACACCUUUAUGUAUUCUCAAUGACAUUACAUUUAGGAUUUGAAGAAAGG
This 2214-nucleotide long non-coding RNA is filed under the name Salmo salar (Atlantic salmon). RNAcentral's name for it is "lncRNA (ENSSSAG00000081872.1)". The record is from RNAcentral. Lineage: Eukaryota; Metazoa; Chordata; Actinopteri; Salmoniformes; Salmonidae.